AAUUUUAGAUUCACUUCAUUCAGUGAUCUAUGUUCAGUAUUUUUUUAAACUCUUAAUUUUAGAGAGGCAAUGCUCCCUUAACAAAUGGUUUCUGAAUAACAGCAUUAUUUAUAGCAACUGUAACACGAAUGGAAGAGUUUACUUUGAAUCCUUUCUUCCAUCCUGCUUUCCUGACUUGAUUUUGUUUGCUUUUCUUUUUUCCCUUCUAAGUUCCCAUAGUUUCUUCUUUUGCAUUUUGAUCUUCUUUUUCUUCUCUCAUUCUCCUCACCUGGGACCGCCAUAGCUUCGGUAUUCUUUCAAAGUGCCUAAGCAUGUCAGCAGAAGCAUCAUGGUAACAUGCCAUGAUCAAUUUUUGCUGCCUUCUUUAGAGGACUUCCUGGUUGUGAAGAUCUUGUUGAUCUAGCACACAGGAAAUUACACCAAUGACCUUGGAAAUUGAUGAUCUUGAACUUUUGACCCCUUCUUGCCCCAUGGGCAAAACUUCAAGGAUCUCCCUCUAUCACAGCAGCAAGGGACUUUGAAAGAGUUCCUUACUGAAACCAACAUAUACCUUAAUAGUGGACUUUAGUUCUGAGUGACUAUUGCUUGUUUGCUUAAGCAUCCACACAACUUAGGUUAAUGCUGCAAAUGAAGUGUGUUACUGGAACCAACAUAUACCUGUAACCUAAGUUGCAAAUGAAGAAGCUGCCGAUCAAAUCCUUCAAUAAUUAAAUGUGAAACCAAUUGAACCAUGAGGACUUCUGACUAAAAGUAAAACAAAACAUAUACCUUAUAGUGGACUUUAGUUCUGAGUGACUGUCGAAUAAAAAGUGGGGAGGAUUCCCACAGGAAUGGGGCAUAUAGUGCAUCUGACCACCCUUUUCCCUUUGUUAAAU
This 875-nucleotide long non-coding RNA is filed under the name Solanum tuberosum (potato). Its description in RNAcentral is "long non-coding RNA (STUB_LNC006820)". Lineage: Eukaryota; Viridiplantae; Streptophyta; Magnoliopsida; Solanales; Solanaceae. The record is from RNAcentral.